Molecule: ribosomal RNA, 397 nt
Filed under: uncultured bacterium
Lineage: Bacteria
Description: partial 16S ribosomal RNA
Rfam family: Bacterial small subunit ribosomal RNA
Source: RNAcentral
AUACGUAGGGGGCGAGCGUUGUCCGGAAUUAUUGGGCGUAAAGGGCGCGUAGGCGGCGGCUUAAGUCUGGAGUGAAAGUCCUGUGUUCAAGAUGGGAAUUGCUUUGGAUACUGGGGGGCUUGAGUGCAGGAGAGGUUAUCGGAAUUCCCGGUGUAGCGGUGAAAUGCGUAGAGAUUGGGAGGAACACCAGUGGCGAAGGCGACUUUCUGGACUGUAACUGACGCUGAGGCGCGAAAGUGUGGGGAGCAAACAGGAUUAGAUACCCUGGUAGUCCACACUGUAAACGAUGAAUGCUAGGUGUAGGGGGUAUCGACCCCUUCUGUGCCGCAGUCAACACAAUAAGCAUUCCGCCUGGGGAGUACGGCCGCAAGGUUGAAACUCAAAUGAAUUGACGGGG